AGGAAGGUAGUGUAGUUAACACCUGCAUUAUUUGACGUUACCUACAGAAGAAAGCACCGGCUAACUCCGUGCCAGCAGCCGCGGUAAUACGGAGGGUGCGAGCGUUAAUCGGAAUUACUGGGCGUAAAGCGCAUGCAGGCGGCCUGUUAAGUCAGAUGUGAAAGACCCGGGGCGUUAACCUCGGAAUUGCAUUUGUAAACUAGGCAGGCUAGAGUCUUGUAGAGGGGGGUAGGAAUUUCAGGUGUAGCGGUGAAAUGCGUAGAGAUCUGAAGGAAUACCAGUGGCGAAGGCGGCCCCCUCGGACAAAGACUGACGCUCAGAUGCGAAAGCGUGGGGAGUAAACAGGAUUAGAUACCCUGGUAG
This 363-nucleotide ribosomal RNA is filed under the name uncultured bacterium. RNAcentral's name for it is "bacterial SSU rRNA". It matches the Rfam family "Bacterial small subunit ribosomal RNA", at positions 441 to 793 of the family's 1533-position model. The record is from RNAcentral.